This is an RNA transcript of Manihot esculenta (cassava), 3089 nucleotides long. It is a transcript of the gene named DEAD-box ATP-dependent RNA helicase 20, with no coding region annotated. Lineage: Eukaryota; Viridiplantae; Streptophyta; Magnoliopsida; Malpighiales; Euphorbiaceae. The record is from RefSeq and is a predicted model, not a curated record. The transcript has 10 exons.
GCCCAAAAACAUUACAACCGCAAGCCGCUGCGGCCUGCAAUAUUAAGGUCAGAUCAAUACCCAGAUUCUUUCGCAUUUCCCUACCAAUCUUUCCCUCCUUCGAGCGGUUAUCACGAUUCAAGAACAACGCGCGAGAGGGGUCAGAGCAGUACAUUUUUAUUCUACUGCAACCGGAAGUUAUACUAAUUGAGACCGUCGAACCCUAGCACCUAUCUGUUCAAUCGCUGCCAUGGUGAACCCUUAUGACCACAGAUAUUCCGAUCCCGAUUCUUACCGUCACCGUCGCAGUGAUCUGAUGGGGCCUCCACCGGUCGGACCGGCAAUGAUGGGGGGACCUUAUGGGCGCGGUGGACCAGCGCCUUAUGGUGGUCCUCCGCCAUCUUUUGCGGGACGAGGUGGUCCUGGAGCGGUAGGUGGUUAUCCACAUUUCGAGCCUCCUGUUGGUAGAUUCGAUAUCGGUCGAGGUGGUGGCACUGUCAGUGGAGGGAGGGGCUUCAGUGGUAACCGUCUGCCCAAUGGUCAUAUUGGGGAUAGAAGGCCUGGUGCAGCUCGUUUUGGCGGUGGACGGGGCCGUGAUGGUGGACGAGGCGGCGGACGUGGUGGUGGGCGCGGUGUUGGUGGAGGAAGGGGAUUUGAUGGUGGUCGUGGUGGUGGAAGAGGAGGUAGGCACGUUGGGGUAGCGACUAGAGGAGACUUGGAUAAUAUUUCCCUUCCCAAGCAGGAUUUUGGGAAUUUGGUGCCUUUUGAGAAGAAUUUCUACAUUGAAAGCCCUUCAAUUCAGUCUAUGUCUGAAAAUGAAGCUUUGAUGUAUCGAGCAAGAAGGGAUAUUACUGUUGAAGGGCAUGAUGUUCCUAAACCCAUUCGGAUGUUUCAAGAGGCUAAUUUCCCUGAUUAUUGCUUAGAGGUGAUUGCGAAGUUGGGUUUUGUUGAGCCAACACCAAUCCAGGCACAAGGGUGGCCUAUGGCCCUCAAGGGUAGAGAUUUAGUUGGCAUUGCAGAGACUGGUUCUGGUAAGACUUUGGCGUACCUGCUACCAGCUUUGGUGCAUGUUAGUGCACAACCUCGAUUAGUACAAGGUGAGGGUCCAAUCGUGUUAGUGUUAGCUCCUACAAGAGAAUUAGCUGUUCAAAUCCAAGAAGAAGCUAUGAAGUUUGGUUCCCAUGCUAAUAUUAGGAGUACUUGCAUAUAUGGUGGUGCUCCCAAAGGACCUCAAAUUCGUGAUCUUCAAAGAGGUGUUGAGAUUGUGAUUGCUACUCCUGGACGAUUAAUUGAUAUGUUAGAAGCUCAACACACAAACCUGCGAAGAGUCACCUACCUUGUGUUGGAUGAGGCUGAUAGGAUGCUGGACAUGGGAUUUGAGCCUCAGAUUAGGAAGAUUGUAUCUCAAAUUCGACCUGAUAGACAGACUUUAUAUUGGAGUGCCACAUGGCCAAGGGAGGUUGAGACUCUAGCAAGGCAGUUUCUGCGCAAUCCAUACAAGGUAAUCAUUGGCUCACCAUAUCUGAAAGCAAAUCAAUCAAUCAACCAAGUUGUUGAAGUUAUGACAGAGGUGGAGAAGUACAACAGGCUGAUCAAACUUCUAAAAGAAGUGAUGGAUGGGAGUCGAAUUUUAAUAUUCAUGGAGACCAAGAAAGGCUGUGACCAAGUUACGAGGCAGUUGAGAAUGGAUGGAUGGCCAGCACUAUCCAUCCAUGGUGAUAAAAAUCAAGCUGAAAGGGAUUGGGUCUUAUCUGAGUUCAAAAGUGGCAGAAGUCCUAUAAUGACUGCCACUGAUGUUGCUGCACGGGGUCUUGGUAGGAUUAUUGUGUGAUAGGGGUCUUUGUUCUUUUUGCUUGGAUCUUGAAUCUUAGAUAUGCGAGUCGGCCGGCUGCUAUCCAGUUUCCGGAGUAUAUAAUUUGUGGUAUGGGUUCUAAGGGAGGUGACAUAGUGCACAAUGAUUGACAGAUUGUUUUGUAUUAACCUGCAAGCAAGAUUUUCUUACUUUAAGGGAUUUGCAAGUUGGAUUGAGAUGCAUAUCAGCUUCUCAUAUUCGCAAUAAUAUUCCAUAAAGUGGCCUACUUGGUUACUACCUUACUCUUACAGCUCAUGUUACAUGGACAUAAGGAGUGGUGCCUAUUGCUAUUUUUGGGACAGCAAUUAAAGAUUUUUCAGGGCUGCCCAUAUAUCAUGAAGAUAGCAGUAUAUUCUCUAGGCGGGGAACGUGUCAAUUUUUUUUUUUAUCUUUUUUUGUUCUGACUGGGGUAAGAAAAAGAUAAUUUGGGAAUGUAGUUUCAUGUGCUGCUCUAAUUUUCAUGAAUUGGCAUGGCUCCAAGUAUCAGGUGUCUAAGUAACAUGGUUGAAGGCAGUGUCCCCAUCCACGAUUAUGGAGCUGGUUUGUCUCGGCAGCCGGGUUGACUCACUCUUGCUUAUAGAUUGAUUGGAUACAGAUGUGGGUGGGUGGUAUUGAAGCUGCUCCUUAUCCCUGCAAGGUUAAGAUGUGAAGGACAUAAAGUGUGUGAUCAACUAUGAUUUUCCUUCCAGCCUUGAGGAUUAUGUCCACAGGAUUGGCCGAACUGGUCGAGCAGGGGCUAGGGGAAAUGCUUUUACCUUUUUCACCCAUGCAAAUGCAAAGUUUGCUCGGGAUCUUAUCAAGAUUUUACAGGAAGCAAGGCAGAUCAUCUCUCCAGCAUUGUCUGCUUUGGCUCGGUCAGGUGGUGCUCCAGGAGGUUCUGGGGGUAACUUCCGAUCUAGAGGACGAGGAGGCUUUGGUAAUCGCUCAUUAAUUUCAGGAUCUAAUACUAUUCCUCUUGGUUCAAAGAGGCCUUGGUAAUGUUAUAUUGUAGCUGCCACUCGAUUCUUCAAGGAACAAGCUUAGGGUAGCAUGUAUAAAGCUGCUAGUAUGGUGUUUGCUGUCUGUAUAUUAGUUUUUCAUCCUGAUAUCAGGUCAUAUUAUAAAUUCAGAUGACAAUGCCCUUAAGUUGAGGAAUUCGUUUGAUAGCAAUUCUUAGUUGCUUUGGCAUCUUAUUGCAAAUUUUAGCGUAAAACUUUUUCAGUUAGCGCUGUACUUUGUUUAGUAAUUCGUGAUGUGCCUAUUUAACUGCUUUUUGGUA